CCGUACAACGGAAGCUGCCCGGGAUUCUUGACCCCCAGCAGCCACUACAACUGUUACGUCACAUCGGUCCAGCAGUCCUGCUGCGGCACGUGCAAGCAAUACUACACUGGACGUGUGGGUUGUGAGUACGGAGACAAAUCCAAGGACUGUGGUUUGUACCCAAAGUCUUUGGUCUGCCCGUCCUACGGGAGCACCCUCUGUUGUGGCUAUUGCUAUGGUUAUGUUGGCAAACGUUCUAUCCUUGACGGAGACGGUCAGCCACCAGUGAACAUCACCAUCACCCCACCCGUCAGCCCACGGGCCAUCAUACAACACGAGCACAAGGACAAGAUCAGUG
Physella acuta is the source of this 337-nucleotide long non-coding RNA. RefSeq lists it as uncharacterized. The record is from RefSeq and is a predicted model, not a curated record. Lineage: Eukaryota; Metazoa; Mollusca; Gastropoda; Physidae.